GACGAACGCUGGCGGCGUGCUUAACACAUGCAAGUCGAACGGAAAGGCCCUGCUUUUGUGGGGUGCUCGAGUGGCGAACGGGUGAGUAACACGUGAGUAACCUGCCCUUGACUUUGGGAUAACUUCAGGAAACUGGGGCUAAUACCGGAUAGGAUCUCCUGCUACAUGGUGGGGGUUGGAAAGUUUCGGCGGUUGGGGAUGGACUCUCGCCUUAUCAGCUUGUUGGUGGGGUAGUGGCUUACCAAGGCUUUGACGGGUAGCCGGCCUGAGAGGGUGACCGGCCACAUUGGGACUGAGAUACGGCCCAGACUCCUACGGGAGGCAGCAGUGGGGAAUAUGACACAAUGGGCGGAAGCCUGAGGCAGCAACGCCGCGUGCGGGAUGACGGCCUUCGGGUUGUAAACCGCUUUCGCCUGUGACGAAGCGUGAGUGACGGUAAUGGGUAAAGAAGCACCGGCUAACUACGUG
Molecule: ribosomal RNA, 468 nt
Filed under: uncultured bacterium
Lineage: Bacteria
Description: partial 16S ribosomal RNA
Rfam family: Bacterial small subunit ribosomal RNA
Source: RNAcentral